Callithrix jacchus (white-tufted-ear marmoset) is the source of this 139-nucleotide small nuclear RNA. Its record names the gene U4. It matches the Rfam family "U4 spliceosomal RNA". Rfam says of the family: U4 small nuclear RNA (U4 snRNA) is a component of the major U2-dependent spliceosome. The structure of U4 snRNA from yeast and human has been reported. The record is from Ensembl. NCBI's taxonomy places the organism in Eukaryota, Metazoa, Chordata, Mammalia, Primates, Cebidae.
AGCAUUGUGUAGCGGUAGCAUUGUAGCCAAUGAGGUUUAUCCAAGGUGCAGUUAUGGAUAAUUUAAAACUUUUCCAAUACUCCGCCAUGACGACUUGCAAUAUAAUCGGCAUUGGCCUUUUUGACAGUCUCUACGGAGA